This 1370-nucleotide ribosomal RNA is filed under the name unidentified marine bacterioplankton. Its description in RNAcentral is "bacterial SSU rRNA". It matches the Rfam family "Bacterial small subunit ribosomal RNA", at positions 9 to 1371 of the family's 1533-position model. The record is from RNAcentral.
GAGUUUGAUCAUGGCUCAGAUUGAACGCUGGCGGCAGGCCUAACACAUGCAAGUCGAGCGGUAGCACAGAGAGCUUGCUCUCGGGUGACGAGCGGCGGACGGGUGAGUAAUGUCUGGGAAACUGCCUGAUGGAGGGGGAUAACUACUGGAAACGGUAGCUAAUACCGCAUAAUGUCGCAAGACCAAAGAGGGGGACCUUCGGGCCUCUUGCCAUCAGAUGUGCCCAGAUGGGAUUAGCUAGUAGGUGGGGUAACGGCUCACCUAGGCGACGAUCCCUAGCUGGUCUGAGAGGAUGACCAGCCACACUGGAACUGAGACACGGUCCAGACUCCUACGGGAGGCAGCAGUGGGGAAUAUUGCACAAUGGGCGCAAGCCUGAUGCAGCCAUGCCGCGUGUAUGAAGAAGGCCUUCGGGUUGUAAAGUACUUUCAGCGGGGAGGAAGGCGAUAAGGUUAAUAACCUUGUCGAUUGACGUUACCCGCAGAAGAAGCACCGGCUAACUCCGUGCCAGCAGCCGCGGUAAUACGGAGGGUGCAAGCGUUAAUCGGAAUUACUGGGCGUAAAGCGCACGCAGGCGGUCUGUCAAGUCGGAUGUGAAAUCCCCGGGCUCAACCUGGGAACUGCAUUCGAAACUGGCAGGCUAGAGUCUUGUAGAGGGGGGUAGAAUUCCAGGUGUAGCGGUGAAAUGCGUAGAGAUCUGGAGGAAUACCGGUGGCGAAGGCGGCCCCCUGGACAAAGACUGACGCUCAGGUGCGAAAGCGUGGGGAGCAAACAGGAUUAGAUACCCUGGUAGUCCACGCCGUAAACGAUGUCGACUUGGAGGUUGUGCCCUUGAGGCGUGGCUUCCGGAGCUAACGCGUUAAGUCGACCGCCUGGGGAGUACGGCCGCAAGGUUAAAACUCAAAUGAAUUGACGGGGGCCCGCACAAGCGGUGGAGCAUGUGGUUUAAUUCGAUGCAACGCGAAGAACCUUACCUACUCUUGACAUCCAGAGAACUUUCCAGAGAUGGAUUGGUGCCUUCGGGAACUCUGAGACAGGUGCUGCAUGGCUGUCGUCAGCUCGUGUUGUGAAAUGUUGGGUUAAGUCCCGCAACGAGCGCAACCCUUAUCCUUUGUUGCCAGCGGUCCGGCCGGGAACUCAAAGGAGACUGCCAGUGAUAAACUGGAGGAAGGUGGGGAUGACGUCAAGUCAUCAUGGCCCUUACGAGUAGGGCUACACACGUGCUACAGUGGCGCAUACAAAGAGAAGCGACCUCGCGAGAGCAAGCGGACCUCAUAAAGUGCGUCGUAGUCCGGAUUGGAGUCUGCAACUCGACUCCAUGAAGUCGGAAUCGCUAGUAAUCGUAGAUCAGAAUGCUACGGUGAAUACGU